Molecule: long non-coding RNA, 1670 nt
Organism: Schistocerca cancellata (South American locust)
Lineage: Eukaryota; Metazoa; Arthropoda; Insecta; Orthoptera; Acrididae
Exons: 2
Source: RefSeq, a predicted model, not a curated record
CAGACACAUAUAAAGUCUCUGGCGUGUCAGCUGUAAUUAGCGAAGUGACUGAAUAAUAGCUUGGAAUACGCAGAAACAGCGCUGGCGCAAUCAAAAGUGUCAGAUAAUUUAAGACGGAACGGAAGGUCGCUGUUGAUACUGUCAUUAUGUUCGGCGGGGAUUAUACUUAAGUACUGUUGUUGGGCGUCAUGGUGGCAAAGACGAAAAAGGCAAAGUGUGCACAUUACACGGGAGUGAUGAGCAUUAAAAUUUGCGAACAAAAUGCUAUGCAGAUAAGGAUAAAAUAAGGCGCUCUCAUAAACGAGCCGCGCUUUCUUGAAAAUGUGAUAAGCGCCGCUGAAUGGUUGUCAUACAUCAGUUUGAGAGUAAAUCAAUGACUUGCACGUCAAAAGACGUGAAAGACAGAACAAUUUCUGUGGAGUAGCACCAUCAUGAUAUGAAUGUUCCAUAACGCUAAAACAUUUUUCAGCUUUCUGCUUAACGUACUGCACUGUUUACAACAUUAUAACCUCUGAACCUGUUGGUCGUAGGCGUCUGAGUUUUCACAUAGUAAAAAUAAGUGAGAAGUUCACUUGCUUCGACGUGGCGGUAAAUGAAGAGAAUAUCAAUGAAGGAGCUAAACGUUCUGUUUAUUGGUAGCAGUUACGAAGACUGGGAAGGAGCCAACAGUUUUGUUUAUUGGUAGCAAUUACGAAGACUGGAUUGACAGUACCUGCUACACAGUAUAAAAGUGCAAACACACUUGCUUUUGUUACGUGUUUCAAAUCAGUAAAGAGAAAAUAAUGCGUUUUCAUAUUCUGUAAUAAAUUACAUUCAUAUGAUUAGUGAAAAGCCAUCAACUGUGAAGAAUUCAGAUACUUUGUAAUAGCAGUGACAACAGAUACCAUCCACUAUGUUUACUUGUUGAUUGAAGCCAUCUGUGAUCAUUGAAUAUUCAGAAAAGACUGAAGUUUGGCAAUAAGCUAUACACAGCACUAAUAUAGUUACCAUAUUUAUUGCCACUAUUUUAGUGUACUUAUCUGAAAUUGUCUCAUGUUGAGAACAAUGUAUGUCUUCCAUUUUUGUGCUUGUGUGAAAAAUUUCCACAGUUAAAUUAUUAUACUAGGAUUUAUAUUACUCAUUAAUGUACAGAAAAACACUUAAAAUGAUGUGCAAUAAUACGUAUAUUUAUGGAGAUUUAUUUAAACAAAACUAUUACAGUGGCAGACACGGAUUGUCAGAUGCAACUUAAUGGAUCAAACAAUGGAAAAUCCAGGACGGAAUGCAACAAUAUUAUGAAAAUAUUAUGCAAUUUACACAGGCUACACAUGUUUCUACAAUUUCAGACUUUUUUGUCAAUUCGUAUAGACUACACAAUAAAGAUGGUACAGUAGUAAAAUCUGAUCUUUGUAGUCAAAUUUAACUAUGCCACAUUGAGACCAGCCUUUCUAUUUCUCUGUUCCAGUGUUCUCUUGUUUCCCGAUAUGUCUGUCAAUAACUUGCUAAAUAGUUACAUCUACAGGGUUCCAAAUUUCUUCCUCCUACUUUUACACUCAAGGAAACAGGUUCAGUGACUUCACCAGUGAAGUCUGAGAAUACUUCACUGGUGAUGCUGAACUGUCAAAGGAAACUGAAGCAUGAAUUUAUAUUUAGUUUUGAGAUUCAGUUGUAAUAAAUGCCUGAAAUUUAAA